GUUAAUCUAAUUUUUGUAAGCGUACACGUGUUGUUCCUCAAAUAAUGGAAGACUUCGUUUGUUUGCAUGCAGGUCCUUCCGCUCCUUCACUCUAGAGCCCAUGAUGGGUUCUUGGCGUUGCAGUACGACGAACGCUACACUUCUUUACUAGAGAUAGCGGGCCUAGAUGUCAUCUCAUUUUAGGUUCGUCGUGGGUUGCCCAAGUUCAACUCAGCGGCCAUAACUGUGUUGGUU
This 234-nucleotide long non-coding RNA is filed under the name Setaria italica (foxtail millet). RNAcentral describes it as "long non-coding RNA (SITA_LNC006777)". Lineage: Eukaryota; Viridiplantae; Streptophyta; Magnoliopsida; Poales; Poaceae. The record is from RNAcentral.